UUUUAUGAGAGUUUGAUCCUGGCUCAGGACGAACGCUGGCGGCGUGCCUAAUACAUGCAAGUCGAACGCUUCUUUUUCCACCGGAGCUUGCUCCACCGGAAAAAGAAGAGUGGCGAACGGGUGAGUAACACGUGGGUAACCUGCCCAUCAGAAGGGGAUAACACUUGGAAACAGGUGCUAAUACCGUAUAACAAUCAAAACCGCAUGGUUUUGAUUUGAAAGGCGCUUUCGGGUGUCGCUGAUGGAUGGACCCGCGGUGCAUUAGCUAGUUGGUGAGGUAACGGCUCACCAAGGCCACGAUGCAUAGCCGACCUGAGAGGGUGAUCGGCCACAUUGGGACUGAGACACGGCCCAAACUCCUACGGGAGGCAGCAGUAGGGAAUCUUCGGCAAUGGACGAAAGUCUGACCGAGCAACGCCGCGUGAGUGAAGAAGGKUUUCGGAUCGUAAAACUCUGUUGUUAGAGAAGAACAAGGAUGMGAGUAACUGUUCAUCACUUUACGGUAUCUAACCAGAAAGCCACGGCUAACUACGUGCCAGCAGCCGCGGUAAUACGUAGGUGGCAAGCGUUGUCGGGA
RNAcentral lists this ribosomal RNA (577 nucleotides) under Enterococcus faecium. Its description in RNAcentral is "bacterial SSU rRNA". It matches the Rfam family "Bacterial small subunit ribosomal RNA", at positions 1 to 549 of the family's 1533-position model. Lineage: Bacteria; Bacillati; Bacillota; Bacilli; Lactobacillales; Enterococcaceae. The record is from RNAcentral.